Molecule: ribosomal RNA, 487 nt
Filed under: uncultured bacterium
Lineage: Bacteria
Description: partial 16S ribosomal RNA
Rfam family: Bacterial small subunit ribosomal RNA
Source: RNAcentral
UGAACGCUGGCGGCAGGCCUACCACAUGCAAGUCGAACGGUAACAGGAAGCAGCUUGCUGCUUCGCUGACGAGUGGCGGACGGGUGAGUAAUGUCUGGGAAACUGCCUGAUGGAGGGGGAUAACUACUGGAAACGGUAGCUAAUACCGCAUAACGUCGCAAGACCAAAGAGGGGGACCUUAGGGCCUCUUGCCAUCGGAUGUGCCCAGAUGGGAUUAGCUAGUAGGUGGGGUAACGGCUCACCUAGGCGACGAUCCCUAGCUGGUCUGAGAGGAUGACCAGCCACACUGGAACUGAGACACGGUCCAGACUCCUACGGGAGGCAGCAGUGGGGAAUAUUGCAAAAUGGGCGCAAGCCUGAUGCAGCCAUGCCGCGUGUAUGAAGAAGGCCUUCGGGUUGUAAAGUACUUUCAGCGGGGAGGAAGGGAGUAAAGUUAAUACCUUUGCUCAUUGACGUUACCCGCAGAAGAAACGCCGGCUAACUCCGU